Molecule: long non-coding RNA, 1269 nt
Organism: Equus caballus (horse)
Lineage: Eukaryota; Metazoa; Chordata; Mammalia; Perissodactyla; Equidae
Source: Ensembl
CUAGAUACCUUCCAUUUUUCAUAGAACUCAGCCCUUAAUCCCUGAAAACAGGCUGCAAAAAUUGACUCUGUUGAUUAGUUCUUGUCAGGUGUUUUUCCCCACUUUUCAAUUUGCUUCACAAGGACCUCCUCAUAUCACUCUUUCUUGAUGUUGAAAAAUGGACAGGAUCUUGACACUGCACAUUCCCUAGUCAUCAUGUCACAGUGGCCUGGAGUGAUCCAAAGUUUGCUGUGGACGAGUAUGUGGGAAUGCUACCUGUCUCUGGUGUUGAAGAGUGGAUAACUGCUCUGUUUCCUUCAUUUUCUAUCCAACGGCUCACAUGGGUGAAAAACACCUCCCUUCUCUCAGGUGGGAGCCAUCAAGUUGAGGUUUAAGUUUGAUUCAACUCAAUGAGAAUGGUGGUUCUUUAAAAGGAUGCAGAGAAAUCUCACAGAGCUCAAGGACAAGAUGUGAAGCUGGGCUUAAUGGGAACCAGGAAGCAAUCAAGAAAGGAGACUCUCUUUUUCUUUUUUUGGAGCUGCAUAGAUGAUCUCUUUUUGUCUUCUCUGUAAAUUUCUGGUUCUCUCCACCCAUUGCCGUCCUUUGCUGAUCUUCAUCAAGAUCCAAAGUGGCCAUCAGAUCUACACAGCAAUCCUUCGGUUCCUAUAGCUGCCACUCAUUGGCUGGAAAACGUGUCGUUUAGUUCAAAAGCCUUAAGUUAGAAAAAUCUCAGAGGGUAAUGUCCAGUCAGUGGAUUAGGUAGGCUUGAGCCAGUGUCCAUCUCUGGGCAAUCAGCCAUGAUCAGGGCCAGCAGAGUCAUACAGUGGGUGCAGCUGCCUGUGUGUUAGGCUAUGGGAAAGUUCAUGUUCUGAGUUGGGCAUGCAACAGAUCUGAAUACAGGAAGUUCCCAGGAUGCCAUGGUUUCCAGACUUCUGUGAUGCUGAAAUUGAGAAGGAAGAGGAAUACUGAAAUUCUUCAAGGACUGUUGGAUACAGGGUGGAGCUGUAACCAAUACUGAGGACCCAUUUUAUGGCAUAAGAAAUACAACAGAGAGCAUAUGACCAUGGACCCCACUGGUCCUAAAAAAUUGCUGGAGUCCAGCUCCAAUAGAGUCCAGGUUCCUGAGGGAUGAACGGCGUCGGCAAAGAGAUUGAGACUGCACACCAGGUCCUUGACUAGCUCAAACAAUCAUUUAUCUUCUAAAGAACUUCAGUGAUUUGGGACCAAGUAUUCAGCACAUAGAAUUAAUCUUUUAUAAGAAGAUCUAGUUUUAAAAUGACAUUUUAGUAA